RNAcentral lists this ribosomal RNA (253 nucleotides) under uncultured bacterium. RNAcentral's name for it is "partial 16S ribosomal RNA". It matches the Rfam family "Bacterial small subunit ribosomal RNA", at positions 524 to 776 of the family's 1533-position model. The record is from RNAcentral.
UACGUAGGGUGCAAGCGUUGUCCGGAAUUAUUGGGCGUAAAGAGCUCGUAGGCGGCUUGUCGCGUCGGCUGUGAAAACCUGGGGCUCAACCCUGGGCCUGCAGCCGAUACGGGCAAGCUAGAAUUCGGUAGGGGAGACUGGAAUUCCUGGUGUAGCGGUGAAAUGCGUAGAUAUCUGGAGGAACACCGGUGGCGAAGGCGGCAUCCUGGACCGGUAUUGACGCUGAGGCGCGAAAGCCAGGGGAGCAAACGGG